This 305-nucleotide long non-coding RNA is filed under the name Corvus moneduloides (New Caledonian crow). Its description in RNAcentral is "lncRNA (ENSCMUG00000019087.1)". Lineage: Eukaryota; Metazoa; Chordata; Aves; Passeriformes; Corvidae. The record is from RNAcentral.
CUUCAGCUGAUCCCAGGUCUCCUGCACAAAAAGCUCAGCAGGUUGGCAGAAUCGAUCAUGCUAAGGCAGAAAUAGCUUUGUGCUGGAGCCAAGGUCCUUUCAAGUAAUGCCUUGGAAUGCCACAGAGCUCUUGGAAACCAGAAGGGUGGCACACGGCUGCCAGAGUGUGUCUUGUGUGGACUAGGAGAAGUCAGCUGAAAUGGCAGGCUGGCUCACACUGAGCUCUUAGCCGCUGUCGCAGUAAGGGAUGGAAGCAGAAGGUGGAAAGCUGGAGAAGCUCCGAUCUCUCACUGGAGAGAGGGGAG